UACGUAGGGAGCAAGCGUUGUCCGGAAUCAUUGGGCGUAAAGCGCGCGUAGGUGGCCCCAUAAGUCCGCUGUGAAAGUCAAAGGCUCAACCUUUGAAAGCCGGUGGAUACUGUGGGACUAGAGUACGGAAGAGGCGAGUGGAAUUCCUGGUGUAGCGGUGGAAUGCGCAGAUAUCAGGAGGAACCCCAAUAGCGAAGGCAGCUCGCUGGGACGUUACUGACACUGAGGCGCGAAAGCGUGGGGAGCGAACAGG
RNAcentral lists this ribosomal RNA (253 nucleotides) under uncultured bacterium. RNAcentral describes it as "partial 16S ribosomal RNA". It matches the Rfam family "Bacterial small subunit ribosomal RNA", at positions 524 to 776 of the family's 1533-position model. The record is from RNAcentral.